AGCAAUUAUACCGCGAAACUGCGAAUGGCUCAUUAAAUCAGUUAUCGUUUAUUUGAUAGUACCUUACUACUUGGAUAACCGUGGUAAUUCUAGAGCUAAUACAUGCUAAAAAUCCCGACUUACGGAGGGAUGUAUUUAUUAGAUUAAAAACCAAUGCCCUUCGGGGCUCCUUGGUGAUUCAUAAUAACUUCUCGAAUCGCAUGGCCUUGUGCCGGCGAUGGUUCAUUCAAAUUUCUGCCCUAUCAACUUUCGAUGGCAGGGUCUUGGCCUGCCAUGGUUACAACGGGUAACGGAGGGUUAGGGCUCGACCCCGGAGAAGGAGCCUGAGAAACGGCUACUACAUCCAAGGAAGGCAGCAGGCGCGCAAAUUACCCAAUCCCGAUUCGGGGAGGUAGUGACAAUAAAUACUGAUACAGGGCUCUUUCGGGUCUUGUAAUUGGAAUGAGUACAAUUUAAAUCCCUUAACGAGGAACAAUUGGAGGGCAAGUCUGGUGCCAGCAGCCGCGGUAAUUCCAGCUCCAAUAGCGUAUAUUAAAGUUGUUGCAGUUAAAAAGCUCGUAGUUGAACCUUGGGCCUGGCUGGCCGGUCCGCCUCACCGCGUGCACUGGUUCGGCCGGGCCUUUCCCUCUGGGGAUCCUCAUGCCCUUCACUGGGUGUGCUGGGGAACCAGGACUUUUACUGUGAAAAAAUUAGAGUGUUCAAAGCAGGCCUAUGCUCGAAUACAUUAGCAUGGAAUAAUAGAAUAGGACGUGCGGUUCUAUUUUGUUGGUUUCUAGGACCGCCGUAAUGAUUAAUAGGGACAGUCGGGGGUGUCAGUAUUCAAUUGUCAGAGGUGAAAUUCUUGGAUUUAUUGAAGACUAACUACUGCGAAAGCAUUCACCAAGGAUGUUUUCAUUAAUCAGGAACGAAAGUUAGGGGAUCGAAGACGAUCAGAUACCGUCGUAGUCUUAACCAUAAACUAUGCCGACUAGGGAUCGGACGAUGUUAUUUUUUGACUCGUUCGGCACCUUACGAGAAAUCAAAGUCUUUGGG
This 1032-nucleotide ribosomal RNA is filed under the name Diatrypella elaeidis. RNAcentral describes it as "SSU rRNA". It matches the Rfam family "Eukaryotic small subunit ribosomal RNA", at positions 68 to 1111 of the family's 1831-position model. Lineage: Eukaryota; Fungi; Ascomycota; Sordariomycetes; Xylariales; Diatrypaceae. The record is from RNAcentral.